CAAUAGCGUAUAUUAAAGUUGUUGCGGUUAAAAGCUCGUAGUUGGAUUUCUGCUUGGGACGACCGGUCCGCCCUCUGGGCGAGUAUCUGGCUCGGCCCGGGCAUCCGCUUGUGGAACGUUUCUGCAAUUAAGUUUGUGGAGCGGAACACAAGCCCUUCACUUUGAGGAAAUUAGAGUGUUUCAAGCAGGCUUUUGCCUUGAAUACGCUAGCAUGGAAUGAUAAGAUAGGACCUCGUCCCUACCUUGUUGGUUCGUAGAGAUGAGGUAAUGAUUAAUAGGGAUAGUCGGGGGCGAUUCGUACUUAACUGUCAGAGGUGAAAUUACUUGGUAUUUGUUUAAAGAACGGACUACUGCGAAAGACAUUUGUCCAACGGAAGUGUUUUCUAUUGUAUCAAGAAACGAAAGUUAAGGGGUAGUCGAAGACGAUCAGAUACCA
RNAcentral lists this ribosomal RNA (436 nucleotides) under uncultured eukaryote. Its description in RNAcentral is "bacterial SSU rRNA". It matches the Rfam family "Eukaryotic small subunit ribosomal RNA", at positions 592 to 1017 of the family's 1831-position model. The record is from RNAcentral.